AGUCUCUGAUUCCCUUUCCCAUCAGAUCUUGACCUUGCUCUGUUUGUUGGUAAAGGGGGAAGAGCACACUGAAGCUCUCCUCACAGCAAUGCGUUCUGGUACAGAGUACAGGGCCAAACUCAAAUAUGC
RNAcentral lists this small nucleolar RNA (129 nucleotides) under Microtus ochrogaster (prairie vole). RNAcentral describes it as "Small nucleolar RNA SNORA61 (ENSMOCG00000011444.1)". The record is from RNAcentral. Lineage: Eukaryota; Metazoa; Chordata; Mammalia; Rodentia; Cricetidae.